GAUGAACGCUGGCGGCGUGCCUAAUACAUGCAAGUCGAGCGAACAGACGAGGAGCUUGCUCCUCUGACGUUAGCGGCGGACGGGUGAGUAACACGUGGAUAACCUACCUAUAAGACUGGGAUAACUUCGGGAAACCGGAGCUAAUACCGGAUAAUAUAUUGAACCGCAUGGUUCAAUAGUGAAAGACGGUUUUGCUGUCACUUAUAGAUGGAUCCGCGCCGCAUUAGCUAGUUGGUAAGGUAACGGCUUACCAAGGCGACGAUGCGUAGCCGACCUGAGAGGGUGAUCGGCCACACUGGAACUGAGACACGGUCCAGACUCCUACGGGAGGCAGCAGUAGGGAAUCUUUCGCAAUGGGCGAAAGCCUGACGGAGCAACGCCGCGUGAGUGAUGAAGGUCUUCGGAUCGUAAAACUCUGUUAUUAGGGAAGAACAAAUGUGUAAGUAACUAUGCACGUCUUGACGGUACCUAAUCAGAAAGCCACGGCUAACUACGUG
This 497-nucleotide ribosomal RNA is filed under the name uncultured bacterium. Its description in RNAcentral is "partial 16S ribosomal RNA". It matches the Rfam family "Bacterial small subunit ribosomal RNA", at positions 28 to 507 of the family's 1533-position model. The record is from RNAcentral.